Molecule: long non-coding RNA, 1876 nt
Organism: Prinia subflava (tawny-flanked prinia)
Lineage: Eukaryota; Metazoa; Chordata; Aves; Passeriformes; Cisticolidae
Exons: 4
Source: RefSeq, a predicted model, not a curated record
UUGCAUUUUUUAAGUUGAAUAUUUGCUUUUCAUGGACAGGAAUGCAGGACUAGAGCUGGAAUUCAUUCUGCCCCUUCAAGCUGUUUUUCUCACAGGCUUGUCACUGCACUGAAGCAUCAUGAGAGCUUCUGUUGCUGAGGAUGAUACAGUCAGACAGGUUCUUCACAGCUGAAUCCUCUUCAGGUCAAUAUGGUCUGCUCUGAAUGACCCAAACAGGAUUGACUUUUCACUAAAAAAUAAAUCACAGAGCUGGUAUAUGGCCAUAAGAACCUUGUUGCAGACUGGAUCCAAGAAGAUGAUUGGGUCUGCUAGCAACCACACUUCUGCUUCUGUCCUUGAAGGAUUUUCAAAAAUGCAGCUACAUGACUACCAAGGUCAAUGGUUUUUUCCAAGUGGCAACAAACCCACUUUUCCCAGGGAAAGCUCUGACACUUGUGAAAAAGCUGUGCUGUGAGUGACCCCAGCUUCAACAAGUGCAAGGCAGAAGAAAAUGAACCAAUGUGCUUCCUCAGACACACAGCUACAAGCUUCUUAAACUGAUCUUCACUUCAGCACAAGCUGCAAGAGCUUCACACUCACUCAGCAGAGAACUCCCAAUGAGGCCUUGGGAACAUUCAGUAUCUGUCUCCAACAAAUUAAUCCCUCAGGAGAUAAGUAUCCAACAUCUUAGAAGGAAAGAAGACCUUUUCUAAGUGAAUGCUUUUAUUGUCUAUUACAGUCCUCUUAUGGGUUUACUCAACAGAAAGUUGCCAAGAGACCACUGACACUUUGCAUUUUCUGCAGGUCCUUAUGUAUUUUCCGACAUACACAGGAAACUGCUGUGAAUUUAUAGAACAGUUUGUUCUGGUGCAUCCUAGUCACAGCUGUGUGUGUUCAUGUCAUGAGUAAUUAGGCAGGCGGAAGAGGUGUGUAUAACAUCUUUACUCAUUUUAACCAACAGCCUCUUUUCAAAUCCCCUCCUGUUGUUUCCUUGAGAGGUGGCAUGGAAAUUUCUGCUAGCACAUCUAAUUAAGUAAAGCAGAGAUUAGUAAAGACCCCUCUAGCUCCAUGAAAUUAAAACACAUUCCUCCUAGGGAAGAGACCAUCAUAAGAUUUUCUACAUCUAGUCAUGACUGCAGUUCCUGAGUCCUAGAAAGCUCUUGAAAGCCUCUGGUCUGUGUGUGCAAAGGCAAAGAGUGCUGGACUGGUGUGAGAUAUAUGCUGAGGGUCAAACACUCAAAUUGUGGCUUUUGAUACAAUUUUCUCCAGUACUGCCAAGGAAGGUUUAACAGCAGAGGUUUCGGGUAUGUCUUAGCUGGAGCCCUCAGUUUCCAAACUGGGUCUGCUGUAUCUGCUCCAUGACUGGGGCUGCUCAGGGGGUGUGGGGUGUAGCAUUCUUCCCGUGGCAGAUUUGAACCCACUCCCCCUUGCCAGUGGCAGUGCAUCCACCCAGGAUAUGCAGAUGGGAGCUGCAGUCCUGCAGAACCUGGGGCUGAUUAAAGGAGCAGGUCCCUGGACCUCGGAAAUCACUGCUUGUAAUUCAGCAUUUUUCAAGCACCUGCUAAAACAGAGGAGGAAGGCAGAAGAGCAAGCUGCUCUGUUUAAUGGCACACCUUCAGCUUUAGCAGGGGAAAAAAAUGAAAGCAAAGAGGGCAGCUGAGAUGUGGAAACCACUUUCUUCUUCAGCAGCCCAAUGCUUGAUGGAGAUUUUUAGCUCAGAGACCAAAACCUUUGGUUUUUAGCUAGAAGCAGGAAAAGGGUUAGUGUUUACUAGAUACAAAUAAGCACUCUUUUAGUCUAGACACUCCAGAAUAAGUGUUUAAUAUUAAUAUUAUUAAUAUUAUUUAGUACUAAUAUUAUUUUUCCUUUACUUUUCCUUCUCUUACUUCUGUGCAGU